This 61-nucleotide microRNA precursor is filed under the name Pristionchus pacificus. Its description in RNAcentral is "mir-8364 microRNA precursor family". It matches the Rfam family "mir-8364 microRNA precursor family". The record is from Rfam by way of RNAcentral. Lineage: Eukaryota; Metazoa; Nematoda; Chromadorea; Rhabditida; Neodiplogasteridae.
UCUUCAUUUCACGCGCUCUCUCACCGGUCAUGGAGACAAGAGAGUGUGUGAAAUGAAGAGA